AUAACCCUACGGGAGGCAGCAGUGGGGAAUAUUGCACAAUGGGCGCAAGCCUGAUGCAGCGACGCCGCGUGCGGGAUGGAGGCCUUCGGGUUGUAAACCGCUUUUGUUCAAGGGCAAGGCACGGUCUUUGGCUGUGUUGAGUGGAUUGUUCGAAUAAGCACCGGCUAACUACGUGCCAGCAGCCGCGGUAAUACGUAGGGUGCAAGCGUUAUCCGGAUUUAUUGGGCGUAAAGGGCGCGUAGGCGGUUCGUCGCGUCCGGUGUGAAAGUCCAUCGCUUGA
This 280-nucleotide ribosomal RNA is filed under the name uncultured bacterium. Its description in RNAcentral is "partial 16S ribosomal RNA". It matches the Rfam family "Bacterial small subunit ribosomal RNA", at positions 333 to 612 of the family's 1533-position model. The record is from RNAcentral.